AGAUGGAUGGGCUUCUCCUUGGAGUCAGGGGAGAGUGAUGCUUUCUUUUCUCUCUUUAAAGGAUUCGGCUAGAGCUCCAAAUGGAACUGGGAAGGAGAUCUGAACAGUUGAGUUGCUUGGCUUCAUUUUGAUCGUGCGCCUAAUAAUCUGUCAUCAUUUAAAGGCCAUUUCCUCCGCACCUGCAUCCAGAGUGCAUCCAGAGGCUGAGGCCUUGAGGAGAAAUCACAGAGUCCCUGUUCUGUUCCUUCUCAGUCACGUGUCCCACUUCCAACCAUGCGCAGCAUGACCUGGAAAGAAAGCGAAGUUCAAAUUGGUCCUUUAAGAAUUCUGGCGGUGGGGUCUGGAAUCCAGCAGACCUGGAUGAAAUCCUGACUCCCCUGCUUGUUAACUGUUUGACCUUGGACAAAUUAGUUCAGUUUCCUCUGAGCCUCAGUCUCCCUGUAAGAAGAAUGAAAUGUCAUCUUGCUGGAAGCCUCGACUGCUUUCUAGGCAAACCAUUUGUUCUGUGAAGACUACACAAUAAAUGUCAACCCCGGGCAGUUUUGGCAUUUGUGGGAGCGUAACACGCAGUUCUCAUCUGCCUGCAUGAGGCUGCUGAGCAGCGAGGAUUUAUCGACAGAAAGAACCAAUCAUCAAGCCUCUCCAAGUCCAGAGUUUUUCUGUAUCUUGUCUCAUCUGGGAGAUGGUCCAGGUGAUUUAUGACUGGCCAGUGUUCUGUAUGUCACACUGAGUUCUUUGGAGAAUCUGGAGCUGGAAAAAUGUCAAGUUGAGGUAGGAGGAUUAUAAAAAGGCAAGCUUUUUUCCCCCCACCACAUUAAAGCAUCAAGA
Alexandromys fortis (reed vole) is the source of this 828-nucleotide long non-coding RNA. RefSeq lists it as uncharacterized. The transcript has 4 exons. The record is from RefSeq and is a predicted model, not a curated record. Lineage: Eukaryota; Metazoa; Chordata; Mammalia; Rodentia; Cricetidae.